GUGGGUAUAGUUCAGUGGUAGAGUGCCAUCUUAGCAUGCAUGAGGUCCUGGGUUCAAUCCCCAGUACCAUCA
This 72-nucleotide transfer RNA is filed under the name Camelus bactrianus (Bactrian camel). It matches the Rfam family "tRNA". Rfam says of the family: Transfer RNA (tRNA) molecules are approximately 80 nucleotides in length. Their secondary structure includes four short double-helical elements and three loops (D, anti-codon, and T loops). The record is from Rfam by way of RNAcentral. RNAcentral also lists the same sequence under 2 other names. Lineage: Eukaryota; Metazoa; Chordata; Mammalia; Artiodactyla; Camelidae.